Molecule: long non-coding RNA, 1286 nt
Filed under: Sarcophilus harrisii (Tasmanian devil)
Lineage: Eukaryota; Metazoa; Chordata; Mammalia; Dasyuromorphia; Dasyuridae
Description: lncRNA (ENSSHAG00000030067.1)
Source: RNAcentral
ACUAAUUAGGACCUGUUUGCUUAUUAUCUCCAUUCAUCUUCAUUAUAGCCAUAUAAGACAAAUAAUAAAACAAAAUUAUUAUCCCCAUUAUACAGAUUUGGAAAACUGAAGCCCAAAGAAAUAAGAUGAAGUGGUUGAAUUAGUUGAUUGUGAAACUUCCCUUCAGCUUUCAUCUAUUAUUAAAACUUAGCUUCUUUCAUGGAAAUUUCUUGUGGAGAAGUGUUCUAAACCUUGAUGAAGAUAUAUACCACAAGGAUCACUCAAGAGAAGGACAAAAGGGAUGAUAUCCUAGAAUAUGCUGCCAUUCCCAGACCACAUAUAUCCAUGAAGAAAAAAAGAAAAAUACUCUCAGUUCAAAGCCAGAAUUUUUUGCAUUACAUUAUCUGUGGGGCAUAUGAGAUUGUUGAUAUUAAACUACUUGGGUAUAAGUAAAUUGAGCCUUGGAAGAAAAAAUGAAAGAUAUUAGAAAAAAGGUUGGUGUGACAAAAUUUGAUUACAAGAGGUCAGAUAUAAUACAAACAAUGAAAUUUUAGCUGUCUUUCUACCUCAAGAUUCCCUCCAGCACACCAUGCUCGGCAAAUUUUAAGCAUAUAAUCAUAAUUAUAAUGACAUUUUAAUGCUAAUUAAGUGUCCUUUGUCAUUUUUAUCUUGAUCCUCAUAACAUCCUUGGGAAGUAGGUUAUAUUAUCAUCCCCAUUGUUCAGAGAAGGAAACAGAGGCAAACAUAGGCUAAAUGACUUGCUCAUGGUUUUCCAAAUGGGUGAGUGUAUCUGAGGCUGGAUUUGGACUAAAGUCUUCUUCACUCCAUGCUUGGUGCUUUAUAUACUCUCAUCAUCUAACAGCCUUGAUAAUAUUGAAUAACUGCAUGUUGACUUUGAGGAGAUGAGUUAUAAAAAGUCCUUUCUUUGGCUAUUGAUAUACUCAUUAUUAUAGUUUCUUAUUUUGGGGUAAUAUGGGCAUAUGUUUGUAUAUGUGAAGUCCAGAGAAAUAAUGUUUUAAUUCUGGCUUUGACUCUGCUUAUGUGACUUUCAACGUUACAACAUUUCUCUGUCUCAAUUUUCUCUUCUGUCAAAUAGCAACAAAAAUAUUUCUUGUUCCUAAAAAACAUGGUAUCAGUGAAAUUCCAAAGUGAAGGAAAAAAUGUUUUUGCAAUUUGUAUUUAAAUAUAUCUGGCUGGCAACCUGGUGGCACAGUGGAUAGAGCACCGGCCUUGAAAUCAGGGGGACCUGAGUUCAAAUUUGGUCUCAGACACUUAACAAUUCCUAGCUGUGUGACUCUGGACAACCC